GCAUUCCUUGGCCUCAGAGGCAGGGCAAAGUGUGCUUAGCUGUCUCACCUGUCUCUGAGGAGCCUCCCUGGCACACCCCACACACCUGACGCUGCUCUGGAAGAAGCCAUGCAACUUGCUGCCACUGCUUUCCUGGCUAGAGAACAUCUGGCUCGGCAGCAGGCAGCCAGUAUAGGACAGCCACUCCUCCACUGGCGGGGCAGCCAGGCACUCAGCUGUGGAGGACCCAUGGGCAGAGAUGCUUAGGAGAAACCUCCCCCAAGUCCUCUGCCUCGGGCUGAUGCUGGUCCUCGCUGUCAACCUCCUCCUGUUGUUUCACACCAAGGAGACCGUACAGAAGUUGAUUCAGCGUGGUCUUCAUGAGGAGCCCCAUCGGCCUCCACCUGAGAGGGAUGAGAUCGUGAUGGACAGGCUGGCCCACCUGGAGGUGGUUAUGCAACAACUGAAAGAAGAUAUGAAGUUGGCUGUGAAGCAACAAGCGAAUGUGCAGGACACACUAAAGAGGGUGAAAGAUGAAGUUCACCCUGCCCCAAAGACAGUGCCACACAACGUGGUGAAGACAAAGAAGCCCCAGGCCCCAAAGAAACUCUUCCCAGACUCUGCACUCUUCCAGAGGUGGGGAGAGGACCUUCCUGAGGCUGAGCAAAGAAAGGCCCAGGACCUGUUCCACAGGUUUGGCUAUAACGUGUACCUCAG
This 696-nucleotide long non-coding RNA is filed under the name Cavia porcellus (domestic guinea pig). RNAcentral's name for it is "lncRNA (ENSCPOG00000036523.1)". The record is from RNAcentral. Lineage: Eukaryota; Metazoa; Chordata; Mammalia; Rodentia; Caviidae.